This 496-nucleotide ribosomal RNA is filed under the name uncultured bacterium. Its description in RNAcentral is "partial 16S ribosomal RNA". It matches the Rfam family "Bacterial small subunit ribosomal RNA", at positions 28 to 506 of the family's 1533-position model. The record is from RNAcentral.
GAUGAACGCUGGCGGCGUGCCUAAUACAUGCAAGUCGAGCGAACGGACGAGAAGCUUGCUUCUCUGAUGUUAGCGGCGGACGGGUGAGUAACACGUGGAUAACCUACCUAUAAGACUGGGAUAACUUCGGGAAACCGUAGCUAAUACCGGAUAAUAUUUUGAACCGCAUGGUUCAAAAGUGAAAGACGGUCUUGCUGUCACUUAUAGAUGGAUCCGCGCUGCAUUAGCUAGUUGGUAAGGUAACGGCUUACCAAGGCAACGAUGCAUAGCCGACCUGAGAGGGUGAUCGGCCACACUGGAACUGAGACACGGUCCAGACUCCUACGGGAGGCAGCAGUAGGGAAUCCUCCGCAAUGGGCGAAAGCCUGACGGAGCAACGCCGCGUGAGUGAUGAAGGUCUUCGGAUCGUAAAACUCUGUUAUUAGGGAAGAACAUAUGUGUAAGUAACUGUGCACAUCUUGACGGUACCUAAUCAGAAAGCCACGGCUAACUACGU